GUACUAAUCUGGCAGGGGAGUGACGGGAAUCACAAGGCUGUUCUCCCGGGCUAAGUCUUGACCACUGCACUUCGGGUGUGCUGACGUCUGCCAUGUCCUCAUUGUGGGAUACUCGACCGUUAAAUAUUUGGUGGUGGGGACUGUGUUCCCGCUCUCCCUG
Molecule: small nuclear RNA, 160 nt
Organism: Pristis pectinata (smalltooth sawfish)
Lineage: Eukaryota; Metazoa; Chordata; Chondrichthyes; Rhinopristiformes; Pristidae
Product: U1 spliceosomal RNA
Exons: 1
Source: RefSeq, a predicted model, not a curated record